ACAUAUACCCGCAAAACAAGGGUUUUUGUUUCCUAACAUCAGUUCGCCGCUUCUACCAUAACCUGAAGAAAUGUUGUCUUCUCUAAUGGUGAACCUAAGCUUCCUCUGGAAGUUGUUAUGGAUCAUCAACUCCAUGACAUGGAUUUGUGGUGAAAUAGCUCGCAUUUCAGUUAUCACGAGUACCUCAUCCUCUUCUCAAUAAAUCUUCCAACCAGAUCCAAUCCCUUAUUAAAUUUUUGCUGAUUUCCUAACCGUGCUCUCCGGUUGAUGGUAAUAUCAAGUGUUUUUGGUUCUUCAUUGAUGGGUUUGGACCCCUGAGAGUACAGCAACAUGUUGGUAAAUCUCCAUCUUUUAUUCCAUUUCUAGUUUUAUAUUCUUCAAGUCCUUGCCCUGACAAUUGUGCUUCAUCUUUUAGAUAUUACUGGGAGGGAGAAACAAGAUGCUCGGCCUCACAGGUAGUUGAAAUAUAUGUAUCUCUACUAGUGUAUUAUUAGUAGAUCUAGGAGAAACUCUCUCUUACACUGUGAGUCCUUUUUGUUGGUUGUACUUGAAUAGGCUAUGUAGCUUUGUACAACUUUGUUGACUGUAAUUUUGUACAUAUUAGUUUUUUCCAUAGUUAAGCUUUAGCCUGGUCAUCCCUGUCACCCUCUUAAUGGUGAAACUCUUAUGUAUGGACAUUGCAUCUUAUGGCUGUUUAUAAUUCUCUUGACUUUGAUUUCUAGUUUCUAAAAAUUUGUCUAACAGAAUUCUCUUUUAUCUAUUGCAUGG
Molecule: long non-coding RNA, 768 nt
Filed under: Capsicum annuum
Lineage: Eukaryota; Viridiplantae; Streptophyta; Magnoliopsida; Solanales; Solanaceae
Description: long non-coding RNA (CANN_LNC020108)
Source: RNAcentral